AGAGGCUUAGGAUAAAAACAAACCAAGGGCCUUCAAAGCCCUAAACGAGGGUGAGAACCCCUCAGCCCCUG
This is a transfer RNA of 71 nucleotides. It matches the Rfam family "tRNA". Rfam says of the family: Transfer RNA (tRNA) molecules are approximately 80 nucleotides in length. Their secondary structure includes four short double-helical elements and three loops (D, anti-codon, and T loops).